GUUUGAGUCCUGGCUCAGAUUGAACGCUAGCGGCAGGCUUAAUACAUGCAAGUCGAGGGGCAGCACGGUUAGCAAUAACGUGGUGGCGACCGGCGCACGGGUGCGUAACACGUAUACAAUCUACCUUAAACAGGGGGAUAGCCUUUCGAAAGAGAGAUUAAUACCCCGUAAUAAAUUGAACGGCAUCGUUUGAUUUGAAAGCUCGGCGGUUUGAGAUGAGUAUGCGUCUGAUUAGCUAGUUGGUGAGGUAACGGCUCACCAAGGCGACGAUCAGUAGGGGACCUGAGAGGACUAAACCCCCCACACUGGUACUGAGACACGGACCAGACUCCUACGGGAGGCAGCAGUAAGGAAUAUUGGUCAAUGGAGGCAACUCUGAACCAGCCAUGCCGCGUGCAGGAUGACGGCCCUAUGGGUUGUAAACUGCUUUUAUACAAGAGAAAACCCUGGUACGUGUACCAAGUUGAUAGUAUUGUAAGAAUAAGCAUCGGCUAACUUCGUG
This 502-nucleotide ribosomal RNA is filed under the name uncultured bacterium. RNAcentral describes it as "bacterial SSU rRNA". It matches the Rfam family "Bacterial small subunit ribosomal RNA", at positions 11 to 507 of the family's 1533-position model. The record is from RNAcentral.